Molecule: non-coding RNA, 122 nt
Organism: Leuconostoc lactis
Lineage: Bacteria; Bacillati; Bacillota; Bacilli; Lactobacillales; Lactobacillaceae
Source: Rfam
AAAACCUUUAAUUAAGUCCAGAGAGACUUGCAAGGCAUUUAGAUACUCGGGGUCGUAGUCUAUACUAUUGACCGUAAUUUUCUAGAACCGCGUAAGUCUGCCGACUUACGCGGUUUUUGUAU